This 62-nucleotide transfer RNA is filed under the name Enterococcus faecium. RNAcentral's name for it is "tRNA-Asp". It matches the Rfam family "tRNA", at positions 9 to 63 of the family's 71-position model. Rfam says of the family: Transfer RNA (tRNA) molecules are approximately 80 nucleotides in length. Their secondary structure includes four short double-helical elements and three loops (D, anti-codon, and T loops). Further hydrogen bonds mediate the characteristic L-shaped molecular structure. tRNAs have two regions of fundamental functional importance: the anti-codon, which is responsible for specific mRNA codon recognition, and the 3' end, to which the tRNAs corresponding amino acid is attached (by aminoacyl-tRNA synthetases). tRNAs cope with the degeneracy of the genetic code in two manners: having more than one tRNA (with a specific anti-codon) for a particular amino acid; and 'wobble' base-pairing, i.e. permitting non-standard base-pairing at the 3rd anti-codon position. The record is from RNAcentral. Lineage: Bacteria; Bacillati; Bacillota; Bacilli; Lactobacillales; Enterococcaceae.
GGUGUAGGGGUUAACAUGCCUGCCUGUCACGCAGGAGAUCGCGGGUUCGAUUCCCGUCGGAA